CAGAUGCCUAAGAAGGAAAAACAUGUGAGCGAACUGGUCAACACAUGGCCGAAUGUGGAAACAGCAGGCUGGUGUCCAGCUCUUCCGUGAGAAAGCCUGACUUGAGUCUUGAUGCUGGUGGCACUGUCUCUACAGCAGUCACAUAAGGAUGCUGUGCACUCUGAAGGGCCAGAUGUAUAGGAAAGGUUGAAAGGGUGCUGACAUGGUCUCAACUAUACACACGUCUGGGAGUUGGAUCUGUGAAGGCCUUUGACCAUGAUGUGUAGGGAAAGAACAGGGCCCUGGAGGAAGUCCUUCCAGGCUUUUGGGUAGAGCUUGGGGUGACAGCGGAAGGGAGGGAGACCAGAAUGUGCUCUCUUCCCUAUCCUGCCACAAAUGGCUCAUUUAAAUAGCUCACUCAUCCUUGACUCUCUCCUUUCCCUAAUCCCCCUUUUUCUCCAUUUCCACUACCACAUGCCAACUGAUCUCAGACACACAGAAGGAUCUCUCUGAGCCCUGCUUUUUCCUAAUACAAGGCCAUUUCUAUUUUGAUGUACCUCCAGUGUGGCAAGGUACAACAUUUAUGAAAAGUUGAACAUUUAUGAAAAGUGUAGAUGGUUUUCACACCAUUACCUUAGACACUUUAGGAGCAUCUCAUGAACAGGAUAACAUCAUAGCACAUUCAGAUAUGCAGAAUAUGACAAUCUACCACCUGUUUGGAAUCCUUCCUGGUUCUCUUUUAACAAUGAUGACUGGUGAAUGGCUUGGCAUUUGACUCAAACCUGCCACUUUAGAUGGUCCCUCACAGUGGGGCUUCAAAUUGGAGGUUUUAAUGCUACUCACCCGUGAAGAGAAAAGUUCUAGAACUUGAGGAGGACAGAGAACAGGUGUGAUGUGUUGGGGGAAUAUAAUGGUUUGGAUCUGAAAUGUCCCCCAAAGGUCCUUAUGCUAAAGGCUUGAUUCCAGCCUGUGGAUCUAUUGGGAGAUGGUGGGACCCUUAGGAAAUGGGGGCCUAGCAGAAGGAAGUCAGGUCACUGGGGAUAUUGGCACCCAAAACCCUUCCUCCCUUUCUUUUUCCUUCCUGGCCUCCAUGAGGCAAAUGGUCAUCCUCCACCUACACUCCUGCUGCCAUAAUAUACUGUACAGCCAAAGGCCCAAAGCAACAGGACCAAGUGACCAUGAACUGAAACCAGGAGCCAAAAUAGACUUUUCCUCUUUUAAGCUGGUUUUCUCGGGUAUUCCAUUACAGUGAUGGAAAGCUAUCUAACACAGGGAGAAUGGUGGAGGGGUGCCCGGGAGGAAGUCAUUGAGCACCUACUGCAUGUACUCUACUAUACCACAUGUCUUACAUGCCAUCUUUCUUUCUUUCAAUAGCCUUCUUAUGCUCAUUUUACAGAUAAGAAAGUUAAGAAUUGGCAUAGUAUUGGUCCCUUAGUAGAUGAGAGCAGCCUUCUAGCCCAGGUGUGCCUGAAGCUAGCCUACUCUUUCCCUCACACUUGGCAUCUUGCCAUUUGUGCAUAUCAGCUUCUAUGGUGCUCCAGUGCCUUUAAGCUUGGAGCAUUUGUCAAGUCAUGAACCAACUCUGUGCUCUCUCUUCUCCCUACUCUGACAUAGAUGCUUAGUUUACCUACUAAUGUUGAUGAUAACUUUAAUAUAUAAUAGAGAUGUAGUACUCAUGAAUUUUGUUUUGUUU
Molecule: long non-coding RNA, 1672 nt
Filed under: Marmota monax (woodchuck)
Lineage: Eukaryota; Metazoa; Chordata; Mammalia; Rodentia; Sciuridae
Source: RNAcentral